RNAcentral lists this ribosomal RNA (253 nucleotides) under uncultured bacterium. RNAcentral's name for it is "partial 16S ribosomal RNA". It matches the Rfam family "Bacterial small subunit ribosomal RNA", at positions 524 to 776 of the family's 1533-position model. The record is from RNAcentral.
UACGUAGGCAGCGAGCGUUGUUCGGAGUUACUGGGCGUAAAGGGCGCGUAGGCGGCCUUCUAAGUCGAACGUGAAAUCCCCGGGCUCAACCCGGGAACUGCGUCCGAUACUGGAAGGCUUGAAUCCGGGAGAGGGAUGCGGAAUUCCAGGUGUAGCGGUGAAAUGCGUAGAUAUCUGGAGGAACACCGGUGGCGAAGGCGGCAUCCUGGACCGGCAUUGACGCUGAGGCGCGAAAGCCUGGGGAGCAAACGGG